This 524-nucleotide ribosomal RNA is filed under the name Eubriinae sp. UPOL RK0700. RNAcentral's name for it is "partial 16S ribosomal RNA". It matches the Rfam family "Bacterial large subunit ribosomal RNA", at positions 1816 to 2610 of the family's 2925-position model. The record is from RNAcentral. Lineage: Eukaryota; Metazoa; Arthropoda; Insecta; Coleoptera; Psephenidae.
CAUGUCCUUUUGAUUAUAAUUUAAGGUCUAGUCUGCCCGCUGAUUAAUUGAAGGGCCGCGGUAUUUUGACCGUGCAAAGGUAGCAUAAUCAUUAGUUUUUUAAUUGGAAACUGGAAUGAAUGGCUGGACGAGAAAAUAACUGUCUCUAUCUAAUUUAAAUAGAAUUUUAUUUUUAAGUUAAAAAGCUUAAAUUUUUUUGAAAGACGAGAAGACCCUAUAGAGUUUGAUAGUUUUUAUUAUAUUGAUUAGUUGGAAUUAUAAUUUUAUUAUUGUGAUUAUUAUUUUAUUGGGGUGAUGGAAAGACUUAUUUAACUCUUUUUUUAUUUGAACAUUAAUAUAUGAUUAUUUGAUCCGUUUUUGACGAUUAAAAGAAUAAAUUACCUUAGGGAUAACAGCGUAAUCUUUUUAUAGAGUUCUUAUCGACAAAAGGGAUUGCGACCUCGAUGUUGGAUUAAAGUUAAUCUAUGGUGUAGCGGCUAUAGGGUUGAGUCUGUUCGACUUUUAAAACUUUACAUGAUCUGAGU